GGAUGCGAAUAUGGGUUGCGUUUUCGUCUUUAGCCAGUUUCCAAAGUAUAGUUGGAGGGUUCACCUAUGAGAAUUUGAAUCAUGGAGGUGAACCAGCAGAUGUAGGAGGAGGAGGAGGGG
Molecule: long non-coding RNA, 120 nt
Organism: Eurytemora carolleeae
Lineage: Eukaryota; Metazoa; Arthropoda; Copepoda; Calanoida; Temoridae
Exons: 3
Source: RefSeq, a predicted model, not a curated record